GCCACCCAGCCACCCAGCCACCCAGCCUGCCACAGAGUAAGACAGAAGGGUCAUAACUCAGCAGAGCUUUGGAAGGACUGCAGCUAUGGAGUUGGGAUCUGAGCUACGGAGGCCUGGCUUCCUGAGGAUGCUCCUGAAGGGUGUGUGCUUCCUCACCUGGUGCUCUGAUUAUCCCUAGUUCCUGAGCAUCGUGGGAUGGGCAUCUUUAUACCACCACAUGCUCUCAGCAUGCUGCUCUGCCUCACCAGAGUCUAAAGCAGAUGGAAUCAGCUGACCAUGGACUGAACCCCAAACCUGCCCUGCCCGUACAUUCUCAGAAAACUUGCCUACCUCCAGUUAAGUCAUCUACAGCACCAAUGCCCGCCCUCACUUAAGGCCCGGGGAACAUUCCAGAAGGAUCAGAGGAUCAGGAUGCUGGCUGUGAGAGUGUUUCUAGACACAACAUGGAAGCUACACAUACAAAACACCACCAACACAGUUGCCCUAAACAAGACCUUCAUAAUGACCAUUCCAGCUAACGUACCAACUGAAAGGUUCAGGCAUCACGCUAGCCUGCUCUGUUACCUGGCAAGAUGCACUCAGGCAGCACUCUGGCCAGCCCAGAGUUCUGUGAGAACCACU
This is a long non-coding RNA of Mesocricetus auratus (golden hamster), 621 nucleotides long. RefSeq lists it as uncharacterized. The transcript is spliced from 3 exons. Lineage: Eukaryota; Metazoa; Chordata; Mammalia; Rodentia; Cricetidae. The record is from RefSeq and is a predicted model, not a curated record.